GGGGUUGUGGCUCAGUGGUAGAGCACUCACCUGGUUUGUGCGAGGCCCUGGGUUCGAUCCUCAGCACCA
RNAcentral lists this transfer RNA (69 nucleotides) under Ictidomys tridecemlineatus (thirteen-lined ground squirrel). Its description in RNAcentral is "Spermophilus tridecemlineatus (thirteen-lined ground squirrel) tRNA". It matches the Rfam family "tRNA". Rfam says of the family: Transfer RNA (tRNA) molecules are approximately 80 nucleotides in length. Their secondary structure includes four short double-helical elements and three loops (D, anti-codon, and T loops). Lineage: Eukaryota; Metazoa; Chordata; Mammalia; Rodentia; Sciuridae. The record is from Rfam by way of RNAcentral.